UACAGAGGGGGCAAGCGUUAUUCGGAAUUAUUGGGCGUAAAGGGCGCGUAGGCGGCCUGGCAAGUGGAAGGUGAAAUCCCUCGGCUUAACCGAGGAACUGCCUCCCAAACUGCUUGGCUUGAGACCGGGAGAGGUGAGUGGAAUUCCCAGUGUAGCGGUGAAAUGCGUAGAUAUUGGGAGGAACACCAGUGGCGAAGGCGGCUCACUGGACCACAACUGACGCUGAGGCGCGAAAGCUAGGGGAGCAAACAGG
RNAcentral lists this ribosomal RNA (253 nucleotides) under uncultured bacterium. Its description in RNAcentral is "partial 16S ribosomal RNA". It matches the Rfam family "Bacterial small subunit ribosomal RNA", at positions 524 to 776 of the family's 1533-position model. The record is from RNAcentral.